Molecule: ribosomal RNA, 497 nt
Filed under: uncultured bacterium
Lineage: Bacteria
Description: partial 16S ribosomal RNA
Rfam family: Bacterial small subunit ribosomal RNA
Source: RNAcentral
GAUGAACGCUGGCGGCGUGCCUAAUACAUGCAAGUCGAGCGAACAGAUAAGGAGCUUGCUCCUUUGACGUUAGCGGCGGACGGGUGAGUAACACGUGGGUAACCUACCUAUAAGACUGGAAUAACUCCGGGAAACCGGGGCUAAUGCCGGAUAACAUUUAGAACCGCAUGGUUCUAAAGUGAAAGAUGGUUUUGCUAUCACUUAUAGAUGGACCCGCGCCGUAUUAGCUAGUUGGUAAGGUAACGGCUUACCAAGGCAACGAUACGUAGCCGACCUGAGAGGGUGAUCGGCCACACUGGAACUGAGACACGGUCCAGACUCCUACGGGAGGCAGCAGUAGGGAAUCUUCCGCGAUGGGCGAAAGCCUGACGGAGCAACGCCGCGUGAGUGAUGAAGGUCUUCGGAUCGUAAAACUCUGUUAUUAGGGAAGAACAAAUGUGUAAGUAACUGUGCACGUCUUGACGGUACCUAAUCAGAAAGCCACGGCUAACUACGUG